This 253-nucleotide ribosomal RNA is filed under the name uncultured bacterium. Its description in RNAcentral is "partial 16S ribosomal RNA". It matches the Rfam family "Bacterial small subunit ribosomal RNA", at positions 524 to 776 of the family's 1533-position model. The record is from RNAcentral.
UACAGAGGUCCCAAGCGUUGUUCGGAUUCACUGGGCGUAAAGGGUGCGUAGGCGGUCGGGUAAGUCUGAUGUGAAAUCUCACAGCUUAACUGUGAAACUGCAUUGGAUACUAUCCGGCUCGAGGAAUGGAGGGGAGACUGGAAUACUUGGUGUAGCAGUGAAAUGCGUAGAUAUCAAGUGGAACACCAGUGGCGAAGGCGAGUCUCUGGCCCGGUACUGACGCUGAGGUGCGAAAGCGUGGGGAGCAAACAGG